ACUCAAAGGAAUAGACGGGGGCCCGCACAAGCGGUGGAGCAUGUGGCUCAAUUCGAUGCAACGCGAAGAACCUUACCUGGCCUUGACAUCAUCCGUGAAAGUCGGUGAAAGCCGAUGACGGCCCGAAAGGGUGCUGGGGGAUGACAGGUGCUGCAUGGUUGUCGUCAGCUCGUGUCGUGAGAUGUUGGCUUAAGUGCCGCAACGAGCGCAACCCCUGUGGUUAGUUGCCAACUACGCGCAAGCGUGGCGCACUCUAACCAGACUGCCCCGAUUCUUAUCUGGGAGGAAGGUGGGGAUGACGUCAAAUCAGUAUGGCCCUUACGGCCAGGGCUGCACACGUGCUACAAUGCUCGGCACAAUGGGACGCAAGACCGCGAGGUGGAGCAAACCCCCAAAACCGAGCUCAGUUCAGAUUGAAGGCUGCAACUCGCCUCCAUGAAGCUGGAAUCGCUAGUAAUGGUACAUCAGCAACGGUACCGUGAAUACGUUCCCGGGCCUUGUACACACCGCCCGU
This 514-nucleotide ribosomal RNA is filed under the name uncultured bacterium. Its description in RNAcentral is "partial 16S ribosomal RNA". It matches the Rfam family "Bacterial small subunit ribosomal RNA", at positions 899 to 1397 of the family's 1533-position model. The record is from RNAcentral.